Molecule: long non-coding RNA, 13945 nt
Filed under: Olea europaea (common olive)
Lineage: Eukaryota; Viridiplantae; Streptophyta; Magnoliopsida; Lamiales; Oleaceae
Description: long non-coding RNA (OEUR_LNC002659)
Source: RNAcentral
AAAAAAUGACAUACCUUAGAUUCGUUGUAAACGAAGAUGAACCCAUGUCAAUUUUUACCUACAGACAGAACAUAGAAGAAUGAAUGAAUUGAAAGUCUUCUUUGUUACAGUAGAAAAAUCUAGAUAUUUCAACCAUUUAUUAUUAUUAUUAUUAUUAUUAUUAUAGGGAAAAAAAAGAAAAAAAAAUUAUUAACCAAACCAACUCAAAAGAGGGUCAAGUGUGAAAACUAAUGAGACAAAAAUAAAUAGUGAAUCAAGGUUUCUCUCAUUUAUUAAGAGUGAAAAAAAUCUAGAUAUUUCAACCAUUUAUUGCUACUAUAUUAUAAAUAGACACAAAAAAAAAAUUAAAAUUAUUACCUCAUCGAUUAAAGUGAAAACAUAGACCAAUUUAUAAGAAUUUGAACUACCCCUCUUAAUAAUGUUGACAUUUUAAAAUAGAACUUUAAAUCUUAACAUAGUAUUAGAACUCAUUAAAUUCUAAUGAGCGAUUCUAUCCGAUCCGAUCAAAACUAAAAAAUGAACAUACGAAUUUCAAGAUUGGUCUGCUCAAAUGAAUCACCAUCUUGUGGGGACAUAUUAAAAGUAUAAAAUCCUACAUCAAUUAAAAAUGAAAACAUAAACCAAUUUAUAAGGGUUGUACCCCUUCUUUUAAUAAAGUUGACAUUUUAAGAAGGAACUCCAAAUCUUUACAAAGUAGAUAAUAAACUUACCUAGAUGAUAUACAAGAUAUGGUUUUUAAUCCUGGUUAUGAAUUUAGAUCUACUGCAGGAAUCCUUUGUUAUUAGUUGGUCCUUUUUAUUGCUAAAACUAGUGGCCGAUCCAAAGCAAGAAGAUCAAACAGUACUUUUUUUUCUUUUUUCUUUUUUUCUUUUAUUCCCUUUCUGCUGCCCACGCUAAGUCGCUAAGGGCAGCCGUCUCACAGUAAUUUAUGAAGCCCGUUUAUACCCACACUCACAUGCACGGAUUUCGUUCUCUGAAGUGUGAAUUGUGUUUCUUUCAUGACUUUGACUACUGUUUCUGUUGAGUGUUGUCACACCCGUCCUAUCCACCUGGACCGAUGGCCCACUCAUCCUGAUCCCUUGGCAUUCCUGCCGAGGUGGCAUACAUUGCCGAGGUGGGGUAUAUCCGAAGUGCUUCAAGCCGAGGUCCACCCGCCGAGGCACCUUGAUCCGAUGUACGCGAGUUUGCUGAAGUCCAACUACCGAGCCCCAUGACCCGAGGCAUGGAACCUGUUGAAUGUAGUUGAGGUCCUCAAAUGGAAACAUCUGUCAAAUGGUCGAAGCCCCGAAACUGAUGCACGAGUCUCUCCUCCGCAAGGAGCUUCCUCCACAGUCACUUCUCCCAAGAGAUCGCCUACUCAGGGAUCUUAUUUGAAUGACUGAUGGGACGUUUGUCACAAGCAUAAAGAUCAAGUCUUGUCACUAGUAUAGAGGACCUGUGCAAGCAAUAAAUGCGCCAUAAGCUAACAAGCCAAGCCGCAUACUAAGAAAAGACGUUUGAACUAAAGAGAUGAGGACACGUGCCACUUCAUUCAAGGGCUCCCAUUUCAUAUGUAUCACUAUAAAUACUUCCAUUGUGUAAUGUCAAGGGGAAUGCAAGAAUCAAUACUAAAUACUACAUUUACUCAACUCUCUCUCAUUUACUCGCAAUACACUAGAUCAAGUAUAUUCAUUUCCACAUAUAUAUUUAUGAGCACCGGUUGAUAAUUAUUGUAUAAUCGGAUUACGAACAACCCGUCGGAUUCCAAACAUCACCGUCCCGCGCCGUUGGGCUACUCCCACGCCCCUUUAAACCGCUCGUUUUAGACCGUCCACGUAUCUUAGCGUGUUGGACAUUCGCCCACGCAAGCGCGGAUGGGACCGGCAUCUGUUGGCGCAAUUUUUGGGGUCAACAGUUUCUAUUGACAUUACUCAUUGUUGUAUCCAUGGUGAAAGUUGGUAAUUUGUAAUUGAAUUAUCUCAGCGAUGAUUAUUUUGUAAUUUCUACUGUAUGGUAAAUUGAAAACGAAGAACAAUAUUACCUUAGAGAUCGUUUUGCUUCGAUAAUUGCAUUUCUAAGUGCUUUCCAGUCUCCUUCGUGGAAGGAUAUUUUUCAAGGAUGAUAGAGUCCAUGUGCUUAAUCUGGAUUGUUAGGUUGGCAGAGGAAAAUAUGAAAAAGAAGAACUUUAAAAUAAAUAAAAGACUGUUUAUGACUUCACUAAAGAGUAAUGAUAUUUGAUGUUUAAGCUGCAUUGUAGAUCAACAAGAAGCAACUGUCCAAAAGUUUUUCAUAAAAAGAAAGGAAUAAUUUUUAGUAGAUAUAGCCCUUGUUUGAGCCCCAUUUUUGUGGAGAAAAUAAAUUUUUGAAUAGUGUAUUGAUGGAAAAUGUGUGGUUAAAAAAUAAGGAAAAUUUUUUUAUUUGCGUAUAAUAUUAUUUUAUUCAAGAAUGUGUGGUUGAAAUAUUAUCAAAUCACUGUUAAAGAAUAUAUUUUGAUGGAAAAAUAGAGCUCAAAUAAGGGCAUAAAUAUUUUCCAGUGCUUAGUCCCCUUAAAAAAAAUAAUUAGCUUAGAGAUGUUUUGGCCCUUUUGUUCAAUAAUUGCAUUGAUAAUUCUUAGUGCUUUCCGACCUCCUCCGACUUGAUGGGCCCCUUUGGUUCAAUAAUUGAAUUUUGUUCCUAAUUUCCUUCCAUGAAGGUUCUUGGUAAAAACCCCCCAUUUGCCCCUAUUAUUUUAAAUUUUAAUGGGCGAAAUAACAUUUUUUUGGAGAAUAGAAAGUUGAAAAAUAAGAAAAAAAUUUCGAUUUACGUAUAAUAUAAUUUUAUGAAAGAUUGUGUGAUUAAAAAUAGGAAAAAGAAAAAUAAUCUACUGCUUUCUCCCACAUCUUUAUGCUAUUGUAGCAUAUUCAUUCAUCCUUGCUCCUUGCACCAUGCAUUUUAGGAUUUUCAAGAUUAUUCUAUUCAACGUCUAUUGCAUUAAUUUCAAUAGAAUCGUGGUUUUAAUUAACAUCUAUUGUAUUGUUGCAACUUUCCAUGUUGCGAUGUGAUAAUUAAUGGAAAGUUACAAUGAAAAAAACUUCAAAUUUCAGUUACAAUUAAAAUAUGGUGCAAUAAAUAAUUUAUUUUAUUUUUUUAUUUUAUUUUAUUUUUUGGUUGUUGUAGCGUAGACUGAGAAAAUGGAGUCGGACAAAAAGAAGAAAAACUGAGUGAGAGGACAAGAUGGAUGGUAAAAGCAGAAGAAAAUAAUUUCUUUAAACAACAUUCAUUUUGCUCCCGUUUGGCCCCUAUUAAAUUCAAUUACAUUACAUUUCAUUUUCUCUCUUAUUUUCAACUACACAAUCUCCCAUAAAAUAAUAUUACAUGUAGAUAGAAAAUUAUAAUCACCUAGCAAAAUAGUCGAUCUAUCAUCUAAUAUUAUAAAUAGGAAGUUGAGAUCGAUGUUUUUAUCUGUAUGUUGUAACCAAUCUUUCCAAAUAAAUAAAGAAAUCUCAAAGAAAUUUGAUAAUAUAAAGAAGAAAGAAUGCUGUUUCAAGAUUGAAACAAAAAAUUAAUCAAUUUGCAUUAUCAACUCUAUGAUAUUUCCCAAUUGACAAUUACCAGUUUAUAUAUUUUUAAAAGUUGUUGAAUAACAAUCGAUACUGUAAUUUCAUUAUAAUUGAUAUAAAUUACUGGUACUUCCAUUCUGAAAGAAAGUUUGAGGAUGAGAUCGCUAAAAAUAUAAGAGGGGGAACCUCUAUGGUAAAAAAAAUACUCUCUUCAGUUCAAUAAUUGCAUUGGUAAUUUUAGCGCUUUCCAACCUCUUUCCAUCCUUUAAAGGUUGACUUUAAGCUUUUUAAGAGUAGACAAGUGUUUUGAGUGAUAGGCUCAAUUGGAGGAGAUUCGUAGUCAUAACCAUCUGAUCUGAAACAAUUCAGGUAAAUGCAUACAACUUUUUUCAAUUAGCGUUUUGUUAAGAAUAUUAUUUUUAGUUUCUUCAAUUUUAUGUGUUCCCCUAAGAGAGAGUCCCAUAAGCUUACAUGAUACCUCUUGUUAUAUAUUUAAUUUAUAUUUAUAGGUAUUUUACCAUUGAAAUCAAUUCUUUAUUUUUUUUAUUAAAUCGAUCCUGGUGUCCCGCAAAUCCGAUCCUUCCUCAAUUCAUAUGCAGUAUGCCCACCCUAUAGGUAAAAAUAAGAGAGAGAAGAUGUGUGAUCCAUUUUUCGUACAAGAAUUCUUUUUUCAAAUUGUAUUGAGCACUCACAACAGUUAAUAUAUUCUUUUCGAUGUUAUUAAAAUCUAUCAUGUCCAACCGAUUGAACCGAUAAAAUCAAGUCGAACACGGGCAUGUCAACCUUCAAAAUCCACUAUUUAAAACCUAUCCUAAAAUUGGUGAAUCCUCAAUCGGAAUUUAUUGAAUCAAUCGCAAUGUUUUCAAGUUUCAAAGGUCAAUCUUAAAUAAAAAAUAAAGAGUCCGUUUUGUUUGCGUUUCAAUUUUCUAUUUCGGGGGUUUCAUUUUAAAUUGCUAAAAAAACACGUUCGAUCUGUCAAAUUUGUACAUUUUAAAAUUGAUAAUUUUUUCAAUAUUUAUUUUUAGCUACAAAAGUAAAACAAAGGAAAUUAAUAAAUUACGCUAACAGAAUAUACAAAAAAAAAAUGAAAUUAAUGACAUGAACUGUAUUUUUUAUAGCUCUUUUAAAUAUUUUUAGAAUUUUUUAUUUAAAUAAUUAAUAAGGGUUUGAACUAUUUUUAUUUUUUAAUUUUCAACAAUAUUUUCGGAAAUUUAGUUCCUCAAAAUUUUUAUUUUCUAGAAAAAAUUUCAACAGAUUUUAGAUUUUAUUUUUUUUAAAAUUUUUAUUCUUAGAAUUUUUGAAUCUCUCUUCAAAUUUUUUUUUUUUUUUAUCGUUUUAGAAUUUUAGAAUUUUAUUUUUGAAUUUGAUUUUUCUUGAAUUUCAAAAUUAUAAUUUUUUAUAAUUUUAUAUUUUUCCUUUUUCAAAAUUUCAUUUUUAAAUAAUGUUUUAUUUAAACGCUUAUAUUUUCAUGUUUUUGACAUUUUUAUUGUAAACACUCAAAUCAUCAAAAAUAUGUUUUAUAUUAUAACUUAUAAACUUAAACUUUAAAAAAAAAAAAAAACUACGUAAAGGACAAAAAACCUGGACCAAACAAAAUUUGAGUGUUUUCGUAAAAUUCAAAACUGAACUAGUGUUUAGCAAAAUUAGCAGGCAUACAGUGACUACACACGAGCAAGCUCAAUUUGUAGCCUCUCCCCCUCCUGUAACAAUUGUUGAUUCCCAUGUGGGACUAGUGCUCCCAACAAUUGGGAGGGAAAUGAAAUCAACUCCAUUAAAAAGGUUGGAACACUCUGCUAUAAUUUAUAUGAAUUUAUAAAAUUAAUAUACCUAUAAAAUAAGUAUAAUUUUGAAUUUUACAUAAUGUUAUAAAUAUCUUGUAUUUAUUUAUUUAUUUAAUAAUUUCAUCGAUUCAAUUCGAUUCGACCUAGGGAUGUCAAUUCGACUCAAACGUAUCGUAACUAGACCAGUAAAAAGUCCAAGCCAACUUGGGCUGACCCUCAUUUUAUGACAACGAUUCGAACUUGAGCUACCCUGUGUCAUAGGCUCGUUCAGUCAUAGAAAAAGAUUUACAUAGCAUAUUCAAUUUUUCUUUUUUUUUUGUUGUUAACAACUACGUGUAAUAUACCAAAUCAGUAUUCGAUGCUAACUAAAACUAAGAAUAGAGAAAACACUGCAAAAAUGCACAUACCUUGCAAUGUUAGUGUAAUAUACCAAAUCAGUAUUCGAUGCUAACUAAAACUAAGAACAGAGAAAACACUGAAAAAAGGCAUAUACCUUGCAAUGUUAAAAAUUGAAACAUAAUUUAACAUAAUAUACGAGUAUAUUAACUAUUUGAUGUUUAAACUGCAUUGUAGAUCAACAAGAAGCAACGGCCCAAAUGUUUUUCAUAAAAAGAAAGGAAUAAAUUUUAGUGAAAUAUAACUAUUUUCCGGUGCUUGGUCCACUAAAAAUAUAAUAAUUAGCUUAGAGAUAUUUUGUCCCUUUUGUUCAAUAAUUGCAUUGAUACUUCAUGGAAAAAGAUGCAAGUACAGGGCUGUCAAGUGAGAGCGGAGGUGGGGGCCAACUUUUUUUAAUGUGUGUGGGGUCCAACUCCUACAGUGAGGCCCUUGUGAACCGACCUCCUAUACGUGGAGCUCGGUCCUUCAGGAAAACUUUCCAACCUCCUCCUGACAUGACAGGCCCUUCCUUUGGUUCAAUAAUUGAAUUUUGCUCUUAAUUAAGGUUCUUGGUAAACGUGAGUCUACUUCCUUGUUUGGCCCCCACUUUGUAGAAAAGAAAAUGGAUGGAAUAGUAUUUUUUUAAAAAUUAAUGGUUGAAAAAGAAAGAAAAGUUUUCUGUUCACGUGUAAUAUAAUUUUAUAGAAAAUUAUGUGGUUGAAAAUAAAAGAGAGAAAAACGAAAUAUAAUGAAAAGAAAAUUAAUGGGGCCAAACGUACUAAAAAAAUGUAUAUGACACCCUAUAGCUUUCUCCCACUUCUUUAUUCUAUUGUAACAUAUUCAUUUAUCUUUGCUCCUUGCCCCGUUUGUUUUAGGAUUUUCAAGAUUAUUCUAUUCAAAGUAAAAAUAUUAUAAUCGAUAAAAUUUCCAGUGAUUAUUCUUAUUAAAUAAUUAUUAAUAAAUGAUUAUUUGAAUCAAUUUUGCAUCUUUGGUCCCGAAGCGUUUCGAGUGAUUGACUCGAUUGGAGGAGAUUUGGUCCCAUACUCACAACGUCCAAUAUAAUAUUUAUUUUUGUCAAAUCAAAUCACUAGACUUUGUUAGGGGAUAAAUAAAUAUUUUUAUAAUUUUCUUUUGCAUUAAUUUUGAUAGAAUCGUGGUUUUAAUUAACGUCUAUUGUAUUGUUGCCACGUUCCAUACCGUGACGUCAUAAUAAAUAGAAGGUUACAAUGAAAAAACUUCAAAAUCUUAAUGACAAUUAAAAUAUGGUAAUAAAUCUUUUAUUUUAUUUUAUUAUUUUUAUUUUUUGUAUAUUACAAUAUCUAAUUUUUAGACAUGUAAUGUUUUAAAAUUGUUCCAUUAUAGAAAAUGAAGUGUGAAACGAGAAAAUAGGGUUGAACAAAAAGAAGAAAAAGUGAGUGGAAAGACAAUCGUCAAUGGGAAGUUGUGAUCUAUGUUUUUAUCUGUAAAAUGUCACCAAUCUUUCCAAAUAAACAAAGAAAUCUCGAAGAAAAUUGAUAAUAUAAAAGGAGGAUGCUGUUUCAAGAUUGAAACAAACCAUUAAUCAAUUUGCAUUAUCAACUCUAUGAUGUUUCCCAAUUGACAAUUACUAGUUUAUAUGUUUUUAAAAUUUAUAUUAUUAUUAAAAGUAGUUGAAUAACAAUCAAUCCAGUAAUUUUUUAUAAUUGAUAUAAAUUACUAUGACAUCCAAGUUUGAGGAUGUGAUCGCCAAAACUAUAAGAUUGGGGGCCGCUUUGGUGAAAAAAAAAAAAUAAUAAAGAAAGAAAGAAAAAAAGAAAAAUUCUUCUUUGCUCCUUGCCCUGUUUAUUUUGGAAUAUUCCUCCCAUUUUGUUUGGAUUUCACCUCAUUCAUAUAAUUAUUAUUAUGAUCGUUAAAUGUUUCAUUGAUUAAAUAAUUAUUAAUAUUUGAUUCUUACUUGUUUUGAUCUGGAUCAAUCUCUCUGCUUUGGCCCUGAAGUGUUUUGAGUGAUAGGCUUAAUUGGAGGAGAUUCGUAGUCUUCGUUACUAAUUUGGACUCAACUGCAACCAUCUAAUCUGAAACAAUUCAGGUAAAUAUGUACAACUUUUUCAAUUAGCAUUUUGUUAAGAAUAUUAUUUUUGGCUUCUUCGAUGUUAUUUUUUCCCCUAAGAGAGAGUCCUAUAAGCUUGCGUGAUACCAUUUGUUAUAUGUUUAACUUGUAUUUAUAGGUAUUUUACCAUUGAAAUCAAAAAUUUUAUUUAUUUUUUAAACAGAUUCCGACAUCCGGCAAAUCCAACCCUUUAGGUAAAAAUAAGAGAGAGAAGACGCAUGAUCCAUUUUCCAUAAACGAAUUCUUUCAAAUCCUUGUAUCGAGUAUUCACAACAGUUAGUAUAUAUAUAUUUUUUUUAAUGUAUCAAAAUCUAUCAUGCUCGGUCAGUUGAACCAAUAAAAUAGUCGAACGCAUGCGUUUCAACCUUUAAUAUCCACUAUUUAAAACCUGUUAUAAAAUCAGUGAAUCUUCAAUCGGAACUUGAUUGCUAUGGUUUCAGAUUUUUCAAGGUCAAUCUUAACUCAAAAAUAAAGCGCCUGUUUCGUUUGCAUUUCAAUUUUCAAUUUUCAGUUUUCAGUUUUCUAUUUUAAUGUUUCGGUUUAAAUUGUUGAAAACACUUUUGAUUUGUCAUACAUGUACAUUAUAAAAUUGAUAAGUCUUUCAAUGCUUAUUUUUUGCUACAGAAGUAAAAGAAAACUAACUAAUAAAUUAAGUUGUCAGAAUAUAGAAAAUAAAAAAAAUGAAAUUAAUGACAUGAACUGAAUUUUCUAUAUGUGCUCUUUUAAAUAAUUUUUAUAAUUUUUAUUUAAAUAAUUAAAGGGUUUGAACUGUUUUUAUUUUUUAAUUUUAUAUAAUUUUCAUUUUUCAGCAAUUUUUUGGAAUUUUAUUUCUUUAAAAUUUUUUAUUUUUUUAGAAAUUUAUUUUUAACAAAGUUUAGAUUUUACUUUUUUUAUUUUUUUAUUAUUUUUGAAUUUCUCUUCAUAUUUUUUAAUAAAUUUAGGAUUUUAAACUUUAUAUUUACUAGAAUUUCAAUAAUUUUUUAAAAUUUUAUAUUUUUUGUUUUUCAAAGUUUCAAACUUUUAUUUUUAAAUAAAAUUUUAUUUAAACGCUUAUUUUUCAUAUUUUUAACAUUUUCAUUGUAAACGCUCAAACCGUCUAAAAUAUGUUUUAAAUUAUAUAUUAUANNNNNNNNNNNNNNNNNNNNNNNNNNNNNNNNNNNNNNNNNNNNNNNNNNNNNNNNNNNNNNNNNNNNNNNNNNNNNNNNNNNNNNNNNNNNNNNNNNNNNNNNNNNNNNNNNNNNNNNNNNNNNNNNNNNNNNNNNNNNNNNNNNNNNNNNNNNNNNNNNNNNNNNNNNNNNNNNNNNNNNNNNNNNNNNNNNNNNNNNNNNNNNNNNNNNNNNNNNNNNNNNNNNNNNNNNNNNNNNNNNNNNNNNNNNNNNNNNNNNNNNNNNNNNNNNNNNNNNNNNNNNNNNNNNNNNNNNNNNNNNNNNNNNNNNNNNNNNNNNNNNNNNNNNNNNNNNNNNNNNNNNNNNNNNNNNNNNNNNNNNNNNNNNNNNNNNNNNNNNNNNNNNNNNNNNNNNNNNNNNNNNNNNNNNNNNNNNNNNNNNNNNNNNNNNNNNNNNNNGAUAAAUGAUUUUCUUGAAAUUUUUAUUUUUUUGUUUUGGCAAUGAAAACAAAUUUCAUCCCCAAUACCAAUAAAUUAUAUCCCUUUAUUUGACAAUUUUCAUGUAAAACAAAGUCAAAAGGACAUCAAAAAACACUUUAAUUUAAACAUUUUUCACGUGAAAAAUUAUACCAAUCAAACACAAUAAUUUACAAUUCUCAAGAAAAUAAUUGCUCAUCAAUUCAAUUCCCUAAAAUUCAUUUUCUUUCCACCCAAAUUUCACCUUUGCAAUCAAAUGGACCCUAAAUGUUUUAACAAAUUUAUCAGAGUUUGCCCUGUCCAUCCAGGGACCCACAUCAAUGCCCUAUUCGAACAGGCCGACGUGACCCAAUUCGAACAACAUUAUUCAAUUUAGCAUGCAUAUAGUGACCACAUACCAGCAAGUUCUAUUUACAUCCCCUCUCUUUCCCCUAUAACAAUUGUUGAUUUCCACGUGGGACUGGUGCUCCCAACAAUUGGGAUGGAAAUGAAAUCAACUCCAUGAAAAUGUAGGAACACUUUGUUAUAAUUUAUGUGAAUUUUUUAAAUUAAUAUACUACCUAUAAAAUAAGUAUAAUUUUGAAUUUUACAUAAUGUCAUAAAUAUUUUUUGAUUUUAUUUAUUUAUUUAAUAAUUUAAUCAAUUCAAUUCGGUUCGGCCUUUAACCCUUGAUCUUUUAUUUUAUUUCUUUCGAUGUUUGGGCCAAUUUUUUAAAUGUUGCUAUGUUUCUCAACAAUUUAAAAAUAUAUAGUAUAAUUCAAAGAAACACCGUAAAUAAAAAAAAAUUAUUACAUCAUGUCAUUAAAAAUAGUAAUAAUAGAAAAUGACACACACACUCUCAACCAUUAUAUUUGGAAAAUAAAAGAGGGGUAAAAUUGACUUUGCACCAUUUGGUGCAAGGAUUACGCUAUGUGUACAUUGAAGGUAUAUACAAUCCUUUAUGCCUCCCUCAAAGGGGGAGGGGCUCACGCAUAAUAAAUUAUUCAUGGCCCCCCUCCAUAUAAGAGGGGUGUCACCAUAUGUGUACAUCCAUUAUGAAAGUUGGUAAAUUGUAAUUGAAUUAUCUCAGAUGAUUACUUAGGCGUUUGUUUCUCAUUUUUGUAAAAUUGAGAAUGAAAAAUAUAAUCGUUAUGGGUUCCACACAAAAGAUAGAAAUUCAAAUUUGGUGGCUUGAUUUGAUGAAUAACGGUCAUAUUUUUCAUUUUAAUGAGAAAAAAAAUGUUAAACAAACAGGGGCUUCUUAAUUUCUACUGCAAGGUAAAUUGAAAAAGAAGAAUAAUAUUACCCUAGAGACGUUGGUUUUGGUUCAAUAUUUGCACUUCCACGUGCUUUCCAAUCUCCUUCCUGGAAGGAUAUUAUUGCUCAAAGAUGACAGAAUCCAUGUGCUUAAUCUUGAUUGUUAGGUUGGCCUUGACUUCUGAGUCAUUUUGAAGUCAUUUCUUCUUAGUAAACAUGCUAUAUCAUAGAUGAUAUCGUCCUAUACUAAAAAGAAUUCACUCAAACUAGGAGUGGGUAUAUUAACUGUGGAACCUACCCAAACAGACCUGAUGGGUUGGUUUCAUGGGACGUCAGGUCGAUUUUCGAGUUUGCUUGGACUCAAUCAGGAAAAGUUGAUUUAAAGUUCAAAAAAAAAAAAAAAUAUAUAUAUAUAUACUGGGAUAAAGAUAAAGUAUUUUGUGAAAUAAAAAUUAAGAAUCCAGAAUAUAUUAUUAAAACUAAAAAUAUUGAAGCUACAAAUCAAGAUCAGGAAGAUUUUAGAAUGCAUAUAAAUGAUUUAUUAAAAUUAGGAGUUAUCAGAAAAUCAGAAAGUCCUCAUAGGUCAGCAGCCUUUAUAGUUAGAAAACAUUCAGAAAUUAUUAGAGGAAAAAGUAGAAUGGUAAUUAAUUAUAAAUGAUUAAAUGAUAAUACUAUAGAUGAUGCUUAUAAUAUCCCAGAUAAAACAGUUUUAAUAAAUAAGAUACAAGAUUGUAAUAUUUUUAGUAAGUUUGACUUAAAAUCAGGUUUUUGGCAAGUUAAGAUGCACCCAGACUCAAUUGAAUGGACAGCCUUUACUAGUCCAGAAGGACAUUUUGAAUGGCUUGUAAUGCCAUUUGGUUUAAAAAAUGCCCCUAGCAUAUUUCAAAGAAAAAUGGAUAGCAUUUUUAGUAAACAUAAUAAAUUUAUUAUAGUUUAUAUAGAUGAUAUUUUAGUAUUUAGUAAAAAUAGAAGAGAACAUAGAGGUCAUUUACAAAUUCUUUUUUCAGAAUUUAUCAGACAUGGUUUAAUUAUAAAUAAAAAGAAAAUGUUUUUAUUUAAAGAAUAUAUAGAAUUUUUAGGAGUAAAUAUAGGAAGAGGAAAAAUAGAAUUACAACCUCAUAUAGCUCAGAAAGCUUUAGAAUUCCCAGAUAAACUUGAAGAUAUUAAACAAUUACAAAAGUUUUUAGGACUUGUUAAUUAUGCUAGACCCUUUAUUAAGAAUUUAGGAAAAAUUGCAGGACCUUUAUAUGGUAAAACUUCACCAAAAGGUCAAAGAUACUUUAAUAUUGAAGAUGUUAAAUUAGUCCAAAAAAUAAAAGAAAAAUUAAAAGAUUUACCUAAAUUAUCUAUGCCAUUAGAAACAGAUUACUUAAUUAUUGAGACAGACGGUAGUAUAACAGGAUGGGGAGCAAUACUUAUUGCAAAACCCAACAAAUAUUCAGAUAAAGAUACUGAAAAAAUAGUAAGAUAUAAUAGUGGAAAUUAUAAAGAAAAAGGUAAUAUUAGUAGUAUAGAUUUAGAAUUACUUGCAGUAAAUUAUGCAUUAGACUCUUUUGAAUUGUUUAUUAUUUCUAAAAAAGAAAUUACCUUACGAACAGACUGUGAAGCAAUUGUUAGUUUUGUUAAUAAAAUGAAAUUAGAAAAUAAAAGAAGUAAUAGAAGAAGAUGGUUAAAUUUUAUAGAUAGAAUUACUAAUACUGGAUUAGUAAUUAAUUUUGAGCAUAUUAAAGGUAGUGAUAAUCAGAUUGCAGAUAUUUUAAGUAGAAUAAUUAAAAAUAAAGAUUAUGAAUAAUAUUUCUAGAAAGAUGCAAAGACCAAGAGGUCCCAGACCAGGAUUGCCAAUUGUUGGCAGUUCAAGUUCUCAGACAAAUAUACUACAGACUCAUGAUAAGUUAAGAUUUGGUAAUAUAGAACUCAUUUGUUUUCCUAAUAGCAAUAUUAGUUUUAAGACAUUUUCUCAUAUUUCAGUUACAAAGGCAGAAAAAUGUAUUUUAGACAACUUAUGGAUUUCUUAUAAUAAGAAUCCAAAAGACCAAAAAUAUUUUUUAGCAUGUUUAAAUGCUCUUUCAGAACAUUUUAGCCAAGAUCAUAAACAAUUUAAAUGUUAUGUUGUUUUAAAUGGAAGACUUCCAGGAAUUUACCAUACUUGGUUAGAAGUUUCAGAUUGUAUUAAGAAUUUUCCAAAUCCUCUUUACAAAGGAUUUUAUUCAAUUUCAGAAGCAUUAGAAGAAUGUAGAAAAUUUAUAGGUGCAAAUUAUUUUAUUGCUCCUUCUUUAAAAAAUGUUUCAGACCAACCUUUAGAUUAUUUUUCAAGAUUUUGUGAUCAUUGUGAAUGUAUGACAAAGAACUUUAAGAUUUUAAAUGAAUCAAACCAGACUUUACAACAAGAGAAAUUAGUUUUACAAAAGAAAAUCUCUGAUUUAGAACAAGAGAUUAUUAAUUUAAAAAUUUCAAAUCCUAUCUCUCAGACAGAAGCAGGUACUAUAGAGCCCAAGAAUUCUAUAGCUAGUCCAGCUCAAACGGAAGCUGGUAAAGACUUAUCAAAUCCGUUUAUGGUUCUGGGCUUACCAAAAGAUCAACAGACUCAGGGGACUGUUGAUUCCUCUACUUCUCAUAUUCAACAGGCUGAAAAUCCUGUUAUAAAAGAACAGACACAGCAGACUGAUAAUUCUGCUACAAGACUUAUUAGUCCAAUAGAUCUUAAACAGAAAAGCUCAAUUAAUUUUCCAGGAUCAUUUCAAUCAGCUCAAGACCCAGAACAAAUUUCUCAGUCAGAUAUUAGAAAGAUCAAAGAAAUGUUUGAAAAGAUUGAAGAGAUUCAGCAACAAGUUAAACAAAGUACGACGAAGAAAAAGAAAUUACAAAUUAGAAAGAAAAAUAAAGGUAAAAAGAAAAUUGAACAAGAAAGAGAUUUGGAUGAAUUCAAAGAUAAUAAUUCAGAAGAUAACCCAGAAGACUUUACUGACGGAGGAGAUUCUUUAGACAGUAUUGGCAGACAUAAUUAUGCAACAAGAUAAGAGAUUUUUCAGACAGGUGUAAAGAAACAAUCAGACAGCUGGAGAAAAGACAAGAAACCUCUAGAAAAAGAAUCUAUUGAUUGAAGAUUUUUGUCCAGACGUCAAGACUUUUGAAGGUUUUUUACUAUUUACUUUUUGAAAAAUUUGUAAAAGAAUCUUACUAUUUUAUAAAGUAAGAUUUGAUAGGAUAGUUUUUACUAUUUACUUUUUGACGUUUUGAAAAAAGCAAAGAUUCCUUGCUUUUAGAUAACGUCUAUCUUAUCUUUUCCCUCCUAUAAAAGGAGAUCAUUCUUUCAUCUGUAAACACACAAGAAAAUUUAUACAAUACAAGUUCUUAGUUCUCUCAAAAA